AUUGAACGCUGGCGGCAUGCUUUACACAUGCAAGUCGAACGGCAGCGCGGGCUUCGGCCUGGCGGCGAGUGGCGAACGGGUGAGUAAUACAUCGGAACGUGCCCAGUAGUGGGGGAUAGCUCGGCGAAAGCCGGAUUAAUACCGCAUACGACCUGAGGGUGAAAGCGGGGGAUCUUCGGACCUCGCGCUAUUGGAGGGGCCGAUGGCGGAUUAGCUAGUUGGUGGGGUAAAGGCCUACCAAGGCGACGAUCGGUGGCUGGUCUGAGAGGACGACCAGCCACACUGGGACUGAGACACGGCCCAGACUCCUACGGGAGGCAGCAGUGGGGAAUUUUGGACAAUGGGCGAAAGCCUGAUCCAGCAAUGCCGCGUGUGUGAUGAAGGCCUUCGGGUUGUAAAGCACUUUUGGCGGGAACGAAAAGGACUGUGCCAAUACCACGGUUCGAUGACGGUACCCGCAGAAUAAGCACCGGCUAACUACGUG
RNAcentral lists this ribosomal RNA (484 nucleotides) under uncultured bacterium. RNAcentral's name for it is "partial 16S ribosomal RNA". It matches the Rfam family "Bacterial small subunit ribosomal RNA", at positions 29 to 507 of the family's 1533-position model. The record is from RNAcentral.